GAGGGCGCCUCUGCACACAACGCUUAUCGGUCGAUCCUUCGUCUUUCGUGGUCUCUGUAUUUUUACCCCUUUUCUAAUUAUCCCAGCCAUUGUCAGAUGUCGUAAGUAUCACAGGUAGUAUCAUAGGUGAAAUUAUGCGUUAAGUAUUGUUAUUCGUGUAUUUUUGACGCGUUCGUUUUGGUGACACCUUUUCCUCUGGUCUAUCGAUUCGACUUGCUCUUAGCAACGUAAAUGUACGAGCAAUGGGCGAAGAUAGCGUUGCUGCGAGUUCAACGAACUCGCUGGGUUGGGUGGCAGUUUGACAAGAAUGAACUUCUUCUUGUCAAGUUUUACGCCUAGGAAUCAUUGAAUCAAACGCAGUACUGGGCAAUCUAAAUUGCACGAUGAUUACGGCACGAUUGCAACUUCUACACGUCUUUUAUGCUCGACGACUAAUUUCUGUUGCCGUAUAAAUUAAUAGAGUUGCUGCUCAGUUAUUGAAAUGUUAUGAUUACAGACUUUCUCCUGACGUUAUCGAUGGACGUGUUUUAUAAUUACUCGUUCAAGAUGAGGUAAGCAAUUAAAGGAGGAAGGAGGCAAAGCGUGUAUUGUUUUAUUCUUAUUUCAUAUGUGUUUUAUUGCGAGCAAAGUAAAAUCUACGUUGUACCAAUUAAUAAGGAGCUCUUCUCUUUUAAAAUCGAAUGUCGACGUUCUUACCUGAUCAAUCAUUUAAAAUGUCCCUUUCCUUUAAAAAACAUCGAUCUAAUUUCUGAUCGAUCGAAAUUGAUCUAACUUUGACAAUAGCACGAAAGAUCGAAAUUAUUCCUCGAUAGUAACGUUUGUCUUCAUACGUAAAAAAGUAUUUUGGGAAUCCAUGGAUUUUAUUAACCUUAAUUUCCUCUACCUUAAAGAGGCGAAAUUUGUGACAUUUGAUGCGCGAUCGAAUUUUUACGAAUCGAUAACAAUACGAUAAAAAUCUUUUUGUGACUCAAA
Long non-coding RNA from Bombus terrestris (buff-tailed bumblebee), 972 nucleotides. RefSeq lists it as uncharacterized. The transcript has 2 exons. The record is from RefSeq and is a predicted model, not a curated record. NCBI's taxonomy places the organism in Eukaryota, Metazoa, Arthropoda, Insecta, Hymenoptera, Apidae.